This 253-nucleotide ribosomal RNA is filed under the name uncultured bacterium. RNAcentral describes it as "partial 16S ribosomal RNA". It matches the Rfam family "Bacterial small subunit ribosomal RNA", at positions 524 to 776 of the family's 1533-position model. The record is from RNAcentral.
UACGUAGGGUGCAAGCGUUAAUCGGAAUUACUGGGCGUAAAGCGUGCGCAGGCGGUUUUGUAAGUCUGACGUGAAAUCCCCGGGCUCAACCUGGGAAUUGCGUUGGAGACUGCAAGGCUAGAAUCUGGCAGAGGGGGGUAGAAUUCCACGUGUAGCAGUGAAAUGCGUAGAGAUGUGGAGGAACACCGAUGGCGAAGGCAGCCGCCUGGGUCAAGAUUGACGCUCAUGCACGAAAGCGUGGGGAGCAAACAGG